RNAcentral lists this ribosomal RNA (289 nucleotides) under uncultured Actinomyces sp. RNAcentral describes it as "partial 16S ribosomal RNA". It matches the Rfam family "Bacterial small subunit ribosomal RNA", at positions 846 to 1137 of the family's 1533-position model. The record is from RNAcentral. Lineage: Bacteria; Bacillati; Actinomycetota; Actinomycetes; Actinomycetales; Actinomycetaceae.
CCGUAGCUAACGCGUUAAGUAUCCCGCCUGGGGAGUACGGCCGCAAGGCUAAAACUCAAAGGAAUUGACGGGGCCCGCACAAGCGGCGGAGCAUGCGGAUUAAUUCGAUGCAACGCGAAGAACCUUACCAAGGCUUGACAUGCGCCCGGGCGCGCGGAGACGCGCGCGCAUUUGGUUGGGGGUGUGCAGGUGGUGCAUGGUUGUCGUCAGCUCGUGUCGUGAGAUGUUGGGUUAAGUCCCGCAACGAGCGCAACCCUUGCCCUAUGUUGCCAGCACGUCGACGCGGCCG